RNAcentral lists this ribosomal RNA (453 nucleotides) under Chorisquilla hystrix. RNAcentral describes it as "partial 16S ribosomal RNA". It matches the Rfam family "Bacterial large subunit ribosomal RNA", at positions 1955 to 2607 of the family's 2925-position model. Lineage: Eukaryota; Metazoa; Arthropoda; Malacostraca; Stomatopoda; Protosquillidae. The record is from RNAcentral.
GGUAGCAUAAUCAUUAGUCUCCUAAUUAGAGGCUUGUAUGAAUGGUUGGACAAGAUGGGAACUGUCUCAAUGCAAAAAAUAAAAAUUAAUAUUUAAGUAAAAAAGCUUAAAUGUUAUGGAGGGACGAUAAGACCCUAUAAAGCUUUAUAAUUAUUCUUUUUUAUAUUAGUUAGUAGAAUGUAGUUUAUUAAAAAGAAAUGAUUAUUUUACUGGGGCGGUAAAAGUAUAUUUUGAUCAACUGCUUUUGUUUUGUAAAUCAAUUAUAAUUGAAAUAUAAAUUGAUCCAUUAUUAAUGAUCAUAAGAACAAGUUACUUUAGGGAUAACAGCGUAAUUUUUCUUGAGAGUUCUUAUCGAAAGAAAAGUUUGCGACCUCGAUGUUGAAUUAAGGAAGCCUUAAGGUGUAGCAGUUUUAUAGGCAGAUCUGUUCGAUCUUUAAAUCUUUACAUGAUUUG